AACGAACGCUGGCGGCAUGCCUAACACAUGCAAGUCGAACGAGACCUUCGGGUCUAGUGGCGCACGGGUGAGUAACGCGUGGGAACCUGCCCUUAGGUUCGGAAUAACUCCCCGAAAGGGGUGCUAAUACCGGAUAAUGUCUUCGGACCAAAGAUUUAUCGCCUUUGGAUGGGCCCGCGUUGGAUUAGCUAGUUGGUAGGGUAAAAGCCUACCAAGGCGACGAUCCGUAGCUGGUCUGAGAGGAUGAUCAGCCACACUGGGACUGAGACACGGCCCAGACUCCUACGGGAGGCAGCAGUGGGGAAUAUUGGACAAUGGGCGAAAGCCUGAUCCAGCAAUGCCGCGUGAGUGAUGAAGGCCUUAGGGUUGUAAAGCUCUUUUACCCGGGAUGAUAAUGACAGUACCGGGAGAAGAAGCUCCGGCUAACUCCGUG
This 433-nucleotide ribosomal RNA is filed under the name uncultured bacterium. Its description in RNAcentral is "partial 16S ribosomal RNA". It matches the Rfam family "Bacterial small subunit ribosomal RNA", at positions 29 to 507 of the family's 1533-position model. The record is from RNAcentral.